This 253-nucleotide ribosomal RNA is filed under the name uncultured bacterium. RNAcentral's name for it is "partial 16S ribosomal RNA". It matches the Rfam family "Bacterial small subunit ribosomal RNA", at positions 524 to 776 of the family's 1533-position model. The record is from RNAcentral.
UACGUAGGGUCCGAGCGUUGUCCGGAAUUAUUGGGCGUAAAGAGCUCGUAGGUGGUUUGUUACGUCUGCUGUGAAAACCUAGGGCUUAACCCUGGGCUUGCAGUGGAUACGGGCAGACUAGAGGUAGGUAGGGGAGAAUGGAAUUCCUGGUGUAGCGGUGAAAUGCGCAGAUAUCGAGAGGAACACCUGCGGCGAAGGCGGGUUGCUGGGCCGACACUGACGCUGAGGCGCGAAAGCUAGGGGAGCAAAUGGG